Cyanistes caeruleus (blue tit) is the source of this 1700-nucleotide long non-coding RNA. The record is from Ensembl. NCBI's taxonomy places the organism in Eukaryota, Metazoa, Chordata, Aves, Passeriformes, Paridae.
UUGCAACUCUUACAUUUUUCACUUUAAAUUUUAAUCAGAAAAUAUCGAAGAAUCAAUAGCUAAACUUUGAAAGGUUCCGAAAGCAAACCUGAUUAUAAGUUAGUGAAUUAAUGAUUUAAUAUGUUACUGAAUAAUCAAUAAUUGCUAUCAGAUGUUCUGAAUCGCUCUUACUAAAUAUGUUUUGGGAAUUUUGUGAUUACAUGAUGAAGUUUCAGGCAGGCAUGCUGAACUGAAGAAGACAUCAGCAGUGUCACAGACAGUGGAUUGAGUGCAGCCUCAGCAGGUUUUGCAGAUGACACCAAGCUGAGUUGUGUGGGUGACACUCCUGAAGGAUGGGAUGCCAUCCAGAGGGACCUGGACAAGCCCAAGCAGUGGCCCAUGGGAAUCUCAUGAGGUUUAACAGAUCAAGUCCAAGCUGCUGCAGCUGGGACAGGACAACCCUUGGUACCAAUCCAGGCUGGACAUGAGCAGCCCCAGAGCAGCCCUGGGAGAAGGACUUGGGGGUGCUGGUGAUGAGAGGCUGGACAUGGCCCGGCCGUGUGCGCUGGGAGCCCAGGAACCCCCCGUGUGCUGGGCUGCAUCCAGAGCCCCGUGGGCAGCAGGGCAGGGAGGGGAUUCUGCCCCUCUGCCCCUCUCUGCUCAGACCCCACCUGCAGGGCUGCAUCCAGCCCUGGGCUCCCAGCACAGGAAGGACAGGGAGCUGCUGGAGCCGGCCCAGAGGAGACACCAAGGUGAUCAGAGGGAUGGAACAGCUCUGCUGUGAGGAAAGGCUGAGAGAAUUGGGGCUGUUCAGCCUGGAAGAAAGAAGGCUUUGGGGUGACUGAAUUGCAGCCUUCCAGCACCUGAAGAGAGCCCACAGGAAAGAUGGAGAGAGACUAUUUACAGGGCCCUGGGGUGACAGGACAAGGGGGAAUGGGUUCAAACUGACAGAGAGUAGGUUUAGGUCAGAUAUUAGGCAGAAAUUCCUUACUGUGAGGUUCGUGAGGCAUUGGCACAGGAAAAGCUGUGGCUGCCCUGUCCCUGUGAGUGUUCAAGGCCAGUUUGGAUGGGGCUCUGAGCAACCUGGUCUAGUGGAAAGUGCCCCUGCCCAUGGCAGGUCCCUUGGAACUCAAACCCUUCUAAGGUUCUAUGAUUCCCUGAUUUUCAGAAGCCCCUAUUCUGAUGUCACAAGGAUCUGUGCUCCAACAGUGGAUUUGCCACCUCAGUUGAGCCAUGGCUGCCUCCAAGCUGACCCAUGUCCUAGGUUAUCUGUCCAGCUCUGGGUGGGAGCUCAUGGCUUUUCACCUUCUGUGCACAAAGGCGGUGUCUGGCAGCUUGGAGUGAGGAGCAGGAUUGCUUUGGCCCAGCGAGGGCAGCACUGGAAACCUGUGUGUGCAUCCAAUAAUGCAAUGGCUGGAAGACAAGGAAGUGGCAGAGUAGCUGGGUGGAUGCAGUGGAUAUUGGCAAUAAUUCUGAUGCUGUGGGGUCACCAGAUCAGUGGACAAGGACAAGUUUUUCUGUGAGUUAAGAGACCAUUGUCUCAUUGCAGCCUCCCAUCUCAUUGCUGGGCUCUCCUAAUGAAACCAGAAUUUCUGCAGGAGCCCAGGAUAUGACUAACAAGAGAUUCACCGUGCAAUAAGAUUCCCAGAUUCUGAGUUCUGGGCAUCUCUUCAAGGACUCUCUUGACAGCUGUAAAGUUCUUUAAAUAAAUAUUGACAUGC